RNA transcript from Pogoniulus pusillus (Red-fronted tinkerbird), 4367 nucleotides. It is a transcript of the gene named leucine rich repeat and coiled-coil centrosomal protein 1, with no coding region annotated. The record is from RefSeq and is a predicted model, not a curated record. NCBI's taxonomy places the organism in Eukaryota, Metazoa, Chordata, Aves, Piciformes, Lybiidae. The transcript is spliced from 25 exons.
GCGCGGCCGUUGGGCGGCGGGGGCAGGCCGGAGUGCGCAGGCGGAUUCUGCGGGUCCCCCGCGGCAUGGCGGGGCACCACUCCGUGCCCGGCGAGCUCAGCCUCAUGGACAAGGGCAUCAACAGCUUACUGGAGGUCUCCCUGAGUUCGGACCUGCAGACGCUCAACCUGCACAGUAACUGCAUCGCCAGAAUCGAAGGGCUCAGCCACCUCCGUUAUUUGCAGCACUUAGAUCUGUCAUCGAACCAAAUCCGCCGGAUGGAGGGGCUCAGUUCCUUGGCUAAUCUGCGAACACUGAGCUUGUCUUGUAACCUGAUAACAAAAGUGGAGGGGCUGGAAAAACUCUUUAAUUUAACUGCAGUGAAUUUGUCAUAUAAUCGCAUCCAUGAUCUCUCUGGAUUUCAGUGCCUUCAUGGAAACAGUUACAAGAUUAGCCAUAUUGACCUCCACAGCAACUGUAUAAACAGUAUUGACCACUUACUGGAGUGCACAAAGGGGCUGCAGUGUUUGACAAGUCUGACACUAGAAAAAAAUGGAAAAGGCAACCCAGUUUGCCACACAUCAGGUUAUAGAGAAACUGUUCUUCAGACAUUGCCCCAGCUAACAGCUCUAGAUGGAAGAACUAUUUGUGGUGAACCAGUGGAUCCAGCUGAAGGAAACCGCUCAGAUUUGCAGUGUUUAGAAGACAUUUGGGACUGUUUGGUUUCAUCUGGACGCCACUCAUCCAGAGAUCAGAACUUCGUUACCUUCCCAGUGGUGACGCCCCACAUUGACCAGGCGCUGGCUCAUUUUCAUCAGCGUAGAAGAACAGCAGUAGAAAGUGGCAGCUCCUCUGCAGAGCUUGUCUCUUCUUCAGAACCAGAGAAGGCUGAACUUGAUAAAAUAUACAGUGAGAUGAGAAUUAAGAAAAUAGAAGAUCAAAUUUCACAGAUACUGCAAAAGGUAUCUGAUGCCUCAAGAAGUGAAGCUCCUUCAAAUGCUCGCAAAGCUAAAAGAGAUACAGAUCCUACUUCUGAGAGUGAAAAUGAGAGUGGGAAGGAAAACAGAAAAGUUGUAAAGAGAAGCAAGAUUCCUAUGUACCGUAGAACUACCUUAUCUGCCAAGCAUCUUAAGAACAAAACAGCUGACAGGGAAGAGAAGAGUUCCUCAAAGUGUCCGCACUCCAGUCAGAGAGACCGUCACCUCAAUUCAUCAUCGGACACACGAGACUUGGAGAUAGUGGGAAGAAAAGCUGAAAUGUUAGCUGGAAGGCAGAGCAAUGUAGAAAAAGGAGAAGAAAUGAAUUCAAAUGCCACAGAGGAAUCGACAUACCGCGCACUGGUUCAAAAACUGGAUCAGGAGAAAGAAAGGAGGUGGAAAGCAGAGCAAGCAGAGAAGAAAUUAAUAGAGCAUGUCAGAGAGCUACAGAAACAUGCAAAAGAAGAAAAGAAUAUUCAGAGCAUGGCUGUAUACACUACAGACAGAUUAAAGGAACUGAUACUUAAAGAGAGGGAUGUUAAGGAAGGGCUGCAAGCAGAUGUCAAGAAGUUGAAAGGUGAAAUGGAAGGACUUACUAAUGAAUUAAAUGAGGCAAGAAAUAAAGAAGCAACAUAUAAGAAGGCCAUACAAGCUUUAGAAGAAACACUGUCCAAGACUGAGACACAGAGAUUGCAUCAACGAACAAUUGAGAUGAAACAGGUGCAAGAAGCAGAGCUGAAAGCAUCAGCAAAUGAAAGAGAAGUGCAGUUACUUCGAAUAUCCUUGCGACAGCAGAAGGAGAAGAUAAAACAACUACAUGAACUUCUUAUAUUAAGAGAGCAAGAGCAAAGGAAAGAACUUGAAGCCCGAGUUGCUUUAAAUGGACCUGAAUUCCAAGCUGCUUUGGCGAAAGAAGUGGCUAAAGAGCAACAGAGACAUGAACAGCGUGUUAAAGAACUUCAAGAGACAAUUAAUAUGUUGAACCAGAAGUACAAGGAGUUAGAAGAUGAAUUUCGUUUAGCAUUAACAAUUGAAGGAAAAAGGUUUAGAGAGGUAAAAGAGAGUUUUGAGAACAUUGCUGCUGAUCUAGCUGAACAUAAACGAGCUGUCUUCGAGUUGGAACAAAAGGAAAAAGAGAUGGCAAGUCUGAUCCAAGACCUGACAAGUCUAGUGAAAGAACAGAAAACAAAGAUUGCAGAAUUAACAAAAUCAAAUGAAGAAGCUACAACAAACCUAAAGUGUAGAACUGAAGAACUUGAAACUGUGAUUGAGGAGGACAAACAGAAGGGUGUUCAAGUUGAACUUCUGAAAAAGGAAAAUGGAAAACUUAUUUCUCAGCUGACAGCCCAAGAAUCUGUGAUUGAUGGGUUAAAAAUGGAAAGAAAAAUAUGGGGACAGGAGUUAGCACAACAGGGAGCUCACCUUGCUCAAGAUCGGGGAAAACUAGAGGCAAAAAUUGAAGUUCUGACAAAUGAGAUUGAGGUGCUAAAAAAACAGAAGGAACAAGAUAGUGAUACUAUAAAAAUUAAAAACAAAAUAAUGGAUGAUCAGACAGAAACAAUCAGAAGACUAAAGGAAGGCGUACAAGAAAAAGAUAAACAAAUCAGAAAACAGCAGGAAGAAAAUGUAAAAGCUCACAAGUGUCUUCAAGUCCAGUUGGAUGAAAAAGCUGCUGAAUUGGAAAGGCUGCUAGAUAAAAUAGAAAGGCAGAAUGAAAGAAAAGAGGAAUUAAAGCAACUACUAGAAGAAAAAGAAUUAGAACUUGACGACAUUAAGAAUGCACACAGUGCACUGAAAAAGGAGUGGCAAGGUAAAGGAAAGCUACUGAGCCAGCUGGAAUUGCAGGUUAAACAAAUAAAAGAGAACUUUGACAUCAAAGAGAAGAAGCUGAUUGAAGAGAGAAAUAAAAGCCUUCAAACUCAGAGGAUUGCUGUGGAAAAGCUUCAUGAAAUGGAUGAUGCAUUUAGAAAACAACUUGAGUCAAUACGGGCAGCUCAUCAAGAAGAACUACUGCAGAUGGCAAGUGAAAAGGAGAAAGAAAUUGAAGCAGCAAAUGAAAAAGUUUACUGCAUUGAAGAAGAAAUGCAGAAGCUUCUGCAGGAAACAGCAAACAGUAAAAAAGCCAUGGAAAAUAAAAUCAGACGACUUACAGAUGCACUGAAUGAUAUUCAACAAGACUUUUGAAGAUGAUUAUAUACACUAAAAUGUGUGUAACACUAUCUAAAAUUCUUACGCUGCAAUGCACUUUCCCCUGUUUUCUAGACACUCAGACCCCCAGGAGCUUCCCAAUAUGUGACAAGUGGACAAGAAACCAGCCAGGGAACACCGAGUGAGCUUGUGCAUGCCACCAUGGGACCACCUGCCUGACAGCUCAGCUUGCAAGGACUGAAAGACCACCAUUCUGGACCACCAUACCUGGAACUGAGCUCCUGUUACCUAACACACACAGGAGGUGAAGGCUUCCUGUUGUGACAGAUGAUGCUGAUUCUGACCCAAGCGCAGUCUAGCGGCUCCUGGUUUAUCAUCAGCAGCAAUCCUUUCAGAGACACCGGCUGGACAAGGGGGGCUCAACUCUGGAAACACACCGAGCAUGCCCAACACAACUGGACAGUGGGCCUGGCUAAGCAAAUCUCUCCUGGCAAAUGAAUCAUAGAAUCAGACAGGUUGGAAGAGACCUACAAGACCAUCCAGUCGAGCCUGUCACCCAGCCCUAUCCCAUCAACUAGACCAUGAUUCUUAAGUGCCUCAUCCAGGCUUUUCUUGAACACCUCCAGGAAUGGUGACUCCACCACCUCCCUGGGUAGCCCAUUCCAAUGCCAAUCACUCUCUGUGUGAAGAACUUCCUCCUAACAUCCAGCCUAUGCUUGCCCUGGCACAACUUGAGACUGUGUCCCCUUGUUCUAUUGCUGGUUGUCUGGGACAAGAGAUCAAGCCUCACCUGGCUACAGCCUCCUUUCAGCCUGUCUAGGUCCCUCUGCAGAGCUCUCCUACCCUCCAACAGAUCGACAUCUGCUCCUAGCUUGGUGUCAUCUGCAAACUUACUGAUGAUGGACUCAAUCUCCUGGUCCAGAUCAUCGAUAUUCCUUGCUUUUUGGCUCAAAAUUCCCGUACUACAGUACUUGGAUCCAGAUACUUCAAUUUCUAUCUUGGAAAAAGUACAUUAGCAAAAAUGUGGUGUAGGUGAAAGCUGUGCCAAAUUUACCUGUUCAUAAGGAUAAACUUCAGCCUGAUGGUACUGAAAGGUUCAGGUGGUGACUGAAAGCAAGCCGUGUACCCGAGUUAAGAUUAAGGCCGCAUUUAUUUGGACACCAGUGCAAGGGACUGGGCUGCCGAUACCCUGGCUGUGAGGCAAAAGAGAAGGAUCUAUGAUAUCACCAAUGUUUUGGAGGGGAUAGAUCUCAUCGAGAAGAA